AGAGUUUGAUCCUGGCUCAGGAUAAACGCUGGCGGCGUGCAUAACACAUGCAAGUCAAGGAGAACGUUUUCUUCGGAAAACUAGUAAACUGGCGGACGGGUUAGUAACGCGUAGGCAACCUACCUUGAAGAUUGGAAUAACUCAGUGAAAACAGGGCUAAUACCAAAUAAUAUCUGCAGUUUUUGACUGUAGAUCAAAGCAGGCUUCGGCUUGCACUUUAAGAUGGGCCUGCGUCUGAUUAGUUUGUUGGUAAGGUAACGGCUUACCAAGACUACGAUCAGUAGCUGGUUUGAGAGGAUGAUCAGCAACACUGGGACUGAGAUACGGCCCAGACUCCUACGGGAGGCAGCAGUGAGGAAUUUUGCGCAAUGGGCGAAAGCUUGACGCAGCAACGCCGCGUGAUCGAUGAAGGUUUGCGAAUCGUAAAGAUCUUUAAUAGAGGAAGAAAAACAUAUAUUCUAACAAAAUAUUUGUCUGACGGUACUUUAUCAAAAAGCCCCGGCUAACUUCGUGCCAGCAGCCGCGGUAAUACGGGGGGGGCAAGCGUUAUCCGGAUUUAUUGGGCGUAAAGGGCUCGUAGGCGGAUUUAUAAGUCGAAAUUGAAAUACAAUGGCUUAACCAUUGGAACGGUUUCGAUACUGUAAAUCUUGAAUGAUGCAGAGGUAAGCGGAAUUCCUGGUGUAGCGGUGAAAUGCGUAGAUAUCAGGAAGAACACCAAAGGCGAAGGCAGCUUGCUGGGCAAAGACUGACGCUCAUGUGCGAAAGUGUGGGUAGCGAACAGGAUUAGAUACCCUGGUAGUCCACACCGUAACGCUGUCUACUAGCUGUGUGUGUCUUUAAGACGUGCGUAGCGAAGCUAACGCGCUAAGUAGACCGCCUGGGGGAGUACGGCCGCAAGGUUAAAACUCAAAUGAUUUGACGGGGGCCCGCACAAGCGGUUGGAGCAUGUGGUUUAUUUCGAUGCAACGCGAAGAGCUUUCUUACACUUGACAUGCUGAGAAGUUACUAGAAGAUAGUUUCGUGCUUUCGGGAGCUUAAGACCACAGGUGCCUGCAUGCCUGUCGUCAGCUCCGUUUCCUGGAGAAUGUUGGGUUCAGUCCGCCAACCGAGCGGCAGCUGGUCUUUAAGUGGCCAGGCCUAGUUGCACCUCUUAAGGAACCUGCGGGUGACAAUCGGGAAGAAAAGGUGUG
RNAcentral lists this ribosomal RNA (1190 nucleotides) under uncultured bacterium. Its description in RNAcentral is "bacterial SSU rRNA". It matches the Rfam family "Bacterial small subunit ribosomal RNA", at positions 8 to 1181 of the family's 1533-position model. The record is from RNAcentral.